AGACCCGAAACCCGGUGAUCUAGCCAUGGGCAGGUUGAAGGUUGGGUAACACUAACUGGAGGACCGAACCGACUAAUGUUGAAAAAUUAGCGGAUGACUUGUGGCUGGGGGUGAAAGGCCAAUCAAACCGGGAGAUAGCUGGUUCUCCCCGAAAGCUAUUUAGGUAGCGCCUCGUGAAUUCAUCUCCGGGGGUAGAGCACUGUUUCGGCAAGGGGGUCAUCCCGACUUACCAACCCGAUGCAAACUGCGAAUACCGGAGAAUGUUAUCACGGGAGACACACGGCGGGUGCUAACGUCCGUCGUGAAGAGGGAAACAACCCAGACCGCCAGCUAAGGUCCCAAAGUCAUGGUUAAGUGGGAAACGAUGUGGGAAGGCCCAGACAGCCAGGAUGUUGGCUUAGAAGCAGCCAUCAUUUAAAGAAAGCGUAAUAGCUCACUGGUCGAGUCGGCCUGCGCGGAAGAUGUAACGGGGCUAAACCAUGCACCGAAGCUGCGGCAGCGACACUGUGUGUUGUUGGGUAGGGGAGCGUUCUGUAAGCCUGUGAAGGUGUGCUGUGAGGCAUGCUGGAGGUAUCAGAAGUGCGAAUGCUGACAUAAGUAACGAUAAAGCGGGUGAAAAGCCCGCUCGCCGGAAGACCAAGGGUUCCUGUCCAACGUUAAUCGGGGCAGGGUGAGUCGACCCCUAAGGCGAGGCCGAAAGGCGUAGUCGAUGGGAAACAGGUUAAUAUUCCUGUACUUGGUGUUACUGCGAAGGGGGGACGGAGAAGGCUAUGUUGGCCGGGCGACGGUUGUCCCGGUUUAAGCGUGUAGGCUGGUUUUCCAGGCAAAUCCGGAAAAUCAAGGCUGAGGCGUGAUGACGAGGCACUACGGUGCUGAAGCAACAAAUGCCCUGCUUCCAGGAAAAGCCUCUAAGCAUCAGGUAACAUCAAAUCGUACCCCAAACCGACACAGGUG
Molecule: ribosomal RNA, 954 nt
Filed under: Escherichia coli
Lineage: Bacteria; Pseudomonadati; Pseudomonadota; Gammaproteobacteria; Enterobacterales; Enterobacteriaceae
Description: partial 23S ribosomal RNA
Rfam family: Bacterial large subunit ribosomal RNA
Source: RNAcentral